Long non-coding RNA from Erpetoichthys calabaricus (reedfish), 254 nucleotides. RefSeq lists it as uncharacterized. The transcript is spliced from 2 exons. The record is from RefSeq and is a predicted model, not a curated record. NCBI's taxonomy places the organism in Eukaryota, Metazoa, Chordata, Cladistia, Polypteriformes, Polypteridae.
GGAGGCGGAGUUGCGUAUUGCGUCAUCACGCCUCCCAUGUAAUCACGCAGUACGUAGAAAACAAGGAAGAGUGCGAAAGAGCGCUGAAGAAAACAUUCAUUACACAAUUGAGGAGGCAGCGAAAGAAUAAGAAGCGAGAGAGCGGCUCACGUGAAGUGAAUGAACGGAGCCCGAGUGAUCACUUGGAUGAAUCAAACCUGUUCAAAAAAAAAAAAAGCGGAGCACCUUAUAUGAGCAGGCAGUCAGCUAAAGAA